GAUGAACGCUGGCGGCGUGCUUAACACAUGCAAGUCGAACGGAAAGGCCCAAGCUUGCUUGGGUACUCGAGUGGCGAACGGGUGAGUAACACGUGGGUGAUCUGCCCUGCACUUCGGGAUAAGCCUGGGAAACUGGGUCUAAUACCGGAUAGGACCACUUCUUGGAUGUUGUGGUGGAAAGUUUUUUCGGUGUGGGAUGAGCUCGCGGCCUAUCAGCUUGUUGGUGGGGUAAUGGCCUACCAAGGCGUCGACGGGUAGCCGGCCUGAGAGGGUGUACGGCCACAUUGGGACUGAGAUAUGGCCCAGACUCCUACGGGAGGCAGCAGUGGGGAAUAUUGCACAAUGGGCGCAAGCCUGAUGCAGCGACGCCGCGUGGGGGAUGACGGCCUUCGGGUUGUAAACUCCUUUCGCUAGGGACGAAGCGUUUUGUGACGGUACCUGGAGAAGAAGCACCGGCUAACUACGUG
Molecule: ribosomal RNA, 467 nt
Filed under: uncultured bacterium
Lineage: Bacteria
Description: partial 16S ribosomal RNA
Rfam family: Bacterial small subunit ribosomal RNA
Source: RNAcentral